Molecule: ribosomal RNA, 294 nt
Filed under: uncultured bacterium
Lineage: Bacteria
Description: partial 16S ribosomal RNA
Rfam family: Bacterial small subunit ribosomal RNA
Source: RNAcentral
GUAGUCCACACCCUAAACGAUGAGUACUAGUUAUUGGGCUUUUUAAAGCUCAGUGACUUAGCUAACGCAUUAAGUACUCCACCUGGGAAGUACGAUCGCAAGGUUGAAACUCAAAGGAAUUGACGGGGCCCGCACAAGCAGUGGAGCAUGUGGUUUAAUUCGAUGCAACGCGAAGAACCUUACCUAGGCUUGAAACGCAUAUUAAAUUCAGUGAAAGCUGUUGUCCCGCAAGGGGGAAUAUGUACAGGUGCUGCAUGGCUGUCGUCAGCUCGUGCCGUGAGGUGUUGGGUUAAG